AGGAGUCUUUAGAGAAAGCUGCUAACUAUCUCAAAGCAAGUUAUUGUUAGGCCCC
This 55-nucleotide transfer RNA is filed under the name Allocarsidara bakeri. Its description in RNAcentral is "tRNA-Ser". The record is from RNAcentral. Lineage: Eukaryota; Metazoa; Arthropoda; Insecta; Hemiptera; Carsidaridae.